This 539-nucleotide long non-coding RNA is filed under the name Zalophus californianus (California sea lion). RNAcentral describes it as "lncRNA (ENSZCAG00015022463.1)". Lineage: Eukaryota; Metazoa; Chordata; Mammalia; Carnivora; Otariidae. The record is from RNAcentral.
ACUGAGGAUGUGUGACUUUGUUCCCCCUGGACGCUGAGGGCAAUGCAGUACCAAUGCACAAUGCAACGACAUACAAGUCUCUAUGGAUUCUUGAAACACAGGUGCUGGGCCCAUGUCUGCUGUGUCUGAGCUGGGAAGGCCAGAGAAUGCUGACGGCCCCCUCCUCAUGCUCUGCCUCUGUUGGGAUCUCAGGGGUCCUCAGAAGCAGGUCUAUCUUGAGGAGCACUCUUAAUUGGAGGCCCAUGGAGCCUAAAGGUGCCUGACAUCACAUUCAGUGUUGUGUGUGGAGAUGAUGUAUUCAGAAUUGUGCAUGGAUGACAAUGUGCAUUUUCUGAGGAGACGGCCAAUAACAUUUGUUGAGUUCUCAAAGGGUCUAGGAGCCAUGAGAAGUUACGAAUCAUUUAUCUAAGGAGACCCAUCCAUCUCAGAAAGGCCCAAGAUUGACUCUCUGGAUCCUUUUUCAUUCCUGUUCCCAGACACCAAAGGGACAGGGAGGGGACGUGCAGGGAACCUUGUGGCCUGGGCUGAACAAGAAUGUG